AGAGUUUGAUCAUGGCUCAGGAUGAACGCUGGCGGCGUGCCUAACACAUGCAAGUCGAGCGAUCUUCUUUGGAAGAGAGCGGCGGACGGGUGAGUAACGCGUGGGUAACCUGCCCUGUACACACGGAUAACAUACCGAAAGGUAUGCUAAUACGAGAUAAUAUGCUUUUAUCGCAUGGUAGAAGUAUCAAAGCUUUUGCGGUACAGGAUGGACCCGCGUCUGAUUAGCUGGUUGGUAAGGUAACGGCUUACCAAGGCGACGAUCAGUAGCCGACCUGAGAGGGUGAUCGGCCACAUUGGAACUGAGACACGGUCCAAACUCCUACGGGAGGCAGCAGUGGGGAAUAUUGCACAAUGGGCGAAAGCCUGAUGCAGCAACGCCGCGUGAGCGAUGAAGGCCUUCGGGUCGUAAAGCUCUGUCCUCAAGGAAGAUAAUGACGGUACUUGAGGAGGAAGCCCCGGCUAACUACGUG
RNAcentral lists this ribosomal RNA (472 nucleotides) under uncultured bacterium. RNAcentral's name for it is "bacterial SSU rRNA". It matches the Rfam family "Bacterial small subunit ribosomal RNA", at positions 8 to 507 of the family's 1533-position model. The record is from RNAcentral.